This 272-nucleotide small nuclear RNA is filed under the name Choloepus hoffmanni (Hoffmann's two-fingered sloth). Its description in RNAcentral is "7SK RNA (ENSCHOG00000015752.1)". It matches the Rfam family "7SK RNA". Rfam says of the family: 7SK was discovered as an abundant small nuclear RNA in the mid-70s but a possible function has only recently been suggested. Two independent studies have found that 7SK RNA binds the CDK9/cyclin T complex (known as elongation factor P-TEFb). P-TEFb activates transcription by phosphorylating the C-terminal domain of RNA polymerase II. The record is from RNAcentral. Lineage: Eukaryota; Metazoa; Chordata; Mammalia; Pilosa; Megalonychidae.
AGAUGGGAGGGCAGCCGGCUGCCACAUCUGUCCCCUACUGAUUAUUCUCAUCUGGAUUGCUAGAUGGGGUUCCUUUCUCUCUCCACCCUCCGCCUACAUUCCUCCCAAAGCUCAAUCAGAAAGGAUGACAUCCCCAUAUAGAGUAGAAAUCAUCUUAAGACAGAGAAUUCAGGUGGUUGAAUUCCUUGGAAAGACUUCCAAAAUUAGCUUUGCUUUUGGGGCAGAUAACUUCCUUUAAUUUGCUUAAAUCCUUUUAUUAUUGUUAUUUUAAA